This 328-nucleotide unclassified non-coding RNA is filed under the name Hevea brasiliensis (rubber tree). The record is from RNAcentral. Lineage: Eukaryota; Viridiplantae; Streptophyta; Magnoliopsida; Malpighiales; Euphorbiaceae.
UUCUGCUUCCACUCAUGAGAACCUCCCGUUGACAGACAGGCCCAAUACCAGGCAAACGGUCGACCAUACCUUUGGGCCGAACAUUGAGCUCUCUCUUCCAUCAUCCAUGCCAAUCCCAGAGCUCGUGCUUUCUCCACAUCCAACCCUAAUCACCCAUUAUUGUCUCGUAGACUUACGGUACUUGCCAUGUCCACUACUGACCAGUCUUAUUGGAGCUCCAUACAUGCUGACAUUGAGACCCAUCUCAAGCAGGCCAUUCCCAUAAGGCCACCGCUAGUUGUCUUCGAGCCCAUGCAUCAUCUCACCUUCAUCGCCCCGCAAACCUCCG